UAUUCGGAUCAAAUUUUCAUGAUUUUUUUUGGAUCAAAUUUUUAUGAUCUUCCUCGGAUCAAGUUCUUAUGAUCUUUUUUGGAUCAAAUUUUUUAUGAUCUUUCUCGGAUAACAUUCCUAUGCAUAAGCCCAUAGGGGCUAUCCCAAACAUAAGCUUCUAGCCAGCUGUUUCUCAAUCUUUAUCGGAUCGAAUUCCCACACAUAAGCUCAUGGAGGUUGUUCCACA
This 226-nucleotide long non-coding RNA is filed under the name Elaeis guineensis (African oil palm). RNAcentral describes it as "long non-coding RNA (EGUI_LNC032006)". Lineage: Eukaryota; Viridiplantae; Streptophyta; Magnoliopsida; Arecales; Arecaceae. The record is from RNAcentral.